Molecule: transfer RNA, 71 nt
Filed under: Pseudonocardia humida
Lineage: Bacteria; Bacillati; Actinomycetota; Actinomycetes; Pseudonocardiales; Pseudonocardiaceae
Description: tRNA-Ile
Source: RNAcentral
AGGUCAGAAGCUGGACACCCGGUGCGGACUCAUAAUCCGUCAGGUCGUGGGUUCGAACCCCACCCGCCCCA